CAAUAGCGUAUAUUAAAGUUGUUGCAGUUAAAAAGCUCGUAGUUGAAUUUCGGGUGCUCGUAGUCGGUCCUUCAUUGGGCUGGCGCGUGUGCUCUCCCCGCCUUUGGCGGCCUUUACUGUGAAAAAAUUAGAGUGUUCAAAGCAGGCAAUCGCUUGAAUACAUUAGCAUGGAAUAAUAAGAUAGGACCUUGUCUAUUUUGUUGGUUGCGGACAAAGAUAAUGAUUAAUAGGGAUAGUUGGGGGUGUCCGUAUUGAGCUGUCAGAGGUGAAAUUCUUGGAUUUGCUCAAGACGAACUGCUGCGAAAGCGUUCACCAAGGAUGUUUUCAUUAA
Molecule: ribosomal RNA, 331 nt
Filed under: uncultured eukaryote
Lineage: Eukaryota
Description: partial 18S ribosomal RNA
Rfam family: Eukaryotic small subunit ribosomal RNA
Source: RNAcentral